RNAcentral lists this ribosomal RNA (160 nucleotides) under uncultured bacterium. Its description in RNAcentral is "partial 16S ribosomal RNA". It matches the Rfam family "Bacterial small subunit ribosomal RNA", at positions 355 to 507 of the family's 1533-position model. The record is from RNAcentral.
UGGGGAAUUUUGGACAAUGGGCGCAAGCCUGAUCCAGCCAUGCCGCGUGAGUGAAGAAGGCCUUCGGGUUGUAAAGCUCUUUCAGACGGAAAGAAAUCGCACUCAUUAAUACUGAGUGUGGAUGACGGUACCGUAAGAAGAAGCACCGGCUAACUACGUG